CGUUUCUGGGUGAAUCUCAAGAUCUGGACUUUGCAUCAAACAACGAUAGAUUCGGAGGGUAAGCGUGGUGUUCAAGAUGUUGACUCGAAUGGAGAUGGGAAGCUUGAUAUGGCCGAACUGAAAGCAGAGUACGGACAACUGGGCGCUCGUGAACUCAUGCACUUUGCUGAUUCAAAUGGUAACCACGUUCUUGAGGCUCAGGAGAUUGUGGCAUUGGAGCGAUACGCAGACUCCCACACAUAAGAGGACAUGGAACAACAAUGAAAAUCUCCGAUUAACUGGAACGUUUCAAUGAAAUAAAUUGUUUGCAAUCGA
Molecule: unclassified non-coding RNA, 315 nt
Filed under: Haliotis rufescens (red abalone)
Lineage: Eukaryota; Metazoa; Mollusca; Gastropoda; Lepetellida; Haliotidae
Description: uncharacterized LOC124140081, transcript variant X1
Source: RNAcentral